GAAAUGCGAUACGCAAUGCGAAUUGCAGAACCGUGAGUCAUCAGAUUUUUGAACGCAAGUGGCGAUAGCUUUGGCUAUCAUGUUCGUUUCAGUGUGCCCGGUUAAUUGCAUCGCAAAAUUUAAUGUGAUUGAAGCAAAACUCUCACUAAAUGCGAGGCAGUGUCGAUAGCCGACGUCAAGCGAAGUAGUCACUAACAGGUGAUAGUCGUUUGAGAUCGGCCAUCGGUGAACCACAGCCUGGAAUAAAUUUAUCCAAUCACGACACCUGAAAUGAGCAAGAAUACCCGCUGAACUUAA
RNAcentral lists this unclassified non-coding RNA (297 nucleotides) under uncultured fungus. RNAcentral describes it as "sequence contains ITS1". The stretch from base 1 to 97 matches the Rfam family "5.8S ribosomal RNA", at positions 50 to 154 of the family's 154-position model. The record is from RNAcentral. Lineage: Eukaryota; Fungi.